This 46-nucleotide small RNA is filed under the name Candidatus Moduliflexus flocculans. Its description in RNAcentral is "Acido-Lenti-1 RNA". It matches the Rfam family "Acido-Lenti-1 RNA". Lineage: Bacteria; Candidatus Moduliflexota; Candidatus Moduliflexia; Candidatus Moduliflexales; Candidatus Moduliflexaceae. The record is from Rfam by way of RNAcentral.
CCCAGGGCUGACGCCCUGGGCUAAUAGAAGUUGCCCUUUCAGAGCA